GACGAACGCUGGCGGCGUGCUUAACACAUGCAAGUCGAACGGUGAAGCGCCUUCCUUUUUGGUGGGUGUGGAUGAGUGGCGAACGGGUGAGUAACACGUGAGUAACCUGCCCCCUUCUUCUGGAUAACCGCAUGAAAGUGUGGCUAAUACGGGAUAUUCUGGGUCUGUCGCAUGAUGGGUCUGGGAAAGAUAUUGUUUCGGUGGGGGAUGGGUUCGCGGCCUAUCAGCUUGUUGGUGGGGUGAUGGCCUACCAAGGCGGUGACGGGUAGCCGGCCUGGGAGGGUGGACGGUCACACGGGGACUGAGACACGGACCAGACUCCUACGGGAGGCAGCAGUGGGGAAUAUUGCACAAUGGGCGCAAGCCUGAUGCAGCGACGCCGCGUGAGGGAUGGAGGCCUUCGGGUUGUGAACCUCUUUCGCCAGUGAAGCAGGCCUGCCUCGUUUGUGGGUGGGUUGACGGUAGCUGGAUAAGAAGCGCCGGCUAACUACGUG
RNAcentral lists this ribosomal RNA (494 nucleotides) under uncultured bacterium. RNAcentral's name for it is "partial 16S ribosomal RNA". It matches the Rfam family "Bacterial small subunit ribosomal RNA", at positions 28 to 507 of the family's 1533-position model. The record is from RNAcentral.